This is a long non-coding RNA of Papaver somniferum (opium poppy), 1742 nucleotides long. RefSeq lists it as uncharacterized. The transcript has 2 exons. The record is from RefSeq and is a predicted model, not a curated record. NCBI's taxonomy places the organism in Eukaryota, Viridiplantae, Streptophyta, Magnoliopsida, Ranunculales, Papaveraceae.
UUUUUUUUUUUUUUUCUGUUGAUAACAACAUAAAUUUAUCAUCUAUAAAUUGAUAUAGUUUUACAGUUCUCUGUGUGUAAGAUCAAUUUUUCUUUGUUGAUAUUUUUUUGCAGUUCUCUAUGCGUAAGAUCGAUCUUAUUUUCUGUUGAUAACGAAAAAAAAAUUACCAUCAAACUUUCUGUGUCGUUGUUUAUAUAAAUCAAUGAACCCUAAUUUUAUUUUUCUUUUGUAUUUCAUGUUCUAUUGAUGCUCAUGUUAUGUUUCAGGGAAUAAUGACAUACGUAUUUUAGAUAUGUUAUGUUUUACUGUAUAUUUCCCUCUAUUUCACAUCUAUUCUCCAUUUUCUUCUUUUUUUCCCUGCUCUAAAAAUCUUUGUCCCAUCAGAUGAUUUGAUCACUUCUCCAUUCAUGCAAAGAUUCCCCUGGCUAAAUCCUAACCAUAUUCUUCUCUUUUGAUUUGUGUUUGUUAUGUUUAUGUUUCUCUCUUCGUGUAUUUUAAUCUUAUGUUGUUGAUUUUUUGUUUUGAUUUCGUAGUCAACCUGGGAUCUUGACACAGAUAUUGGACGACAUAUCCCUGCAUCUCAGAGUCUCAAACUCUUGCCAAACCAACAAACUAUCCCAAUUACAAUCAGCUGACUAGCAUCGUGACGUAUCACUGUAACCAGAAUACAGGUUGAGAUAAUUUCAAAUUAGAAGAUACUCCGGGAUGACAAUACAAAGCUUUUGCAGGCAUAAUGGAAGUUUCUUGCCCAUGAAACGGUUACGUAAGUAAUCUUCCAUUAAUACCUGACCAUUUGACUUUCUGCAGGUGAAAAAAAAGACAAAGAAGUAUAGAAUGACAACCAAUUGGCAGCAUUACACGAUAGCACUACUGUUCCAGUCUCUUCAAAGUAUCCACUGAAGAAUAAAAGAAUAGAUGGAAAGAAGAACUAACCAGUUCCAUCAGUUUUUUUUUAAUAGGUUACCAGCUCCAUCUGUUCGGUAUGAUUAGCAUCUUCAAAUGGCUUUACAGUUUUUUUUUUUUCCUUUCUUUUUUUGCUUUCCACGAGUAAGCAGAAGUCUUAAAAUGUUUCGGUCUCCCAACGUCUUAAAUUCAGUAUCCAUCAUAUUUACUUGCCAAUUAUUUCAAGUGGCUUUACAGUUAUUUUAAGGAAUUAUUUUAAUUCGUAUAAGACAUAUUUAUGCGAAAAUCUAUCUACUUAGAUUUGGCCAAUUUGUGCCCGUGCAAAGCAAUGUUUGUCUGAACCCUGCAGCAGCAAUAGUAUACGCACAGAUUUUUGAAAAAUGAUAAGCAAGCUCGGUGUAAGGAGGAGGGUAUGAAUGAUGCUUGCAUGAAUAUGUCUUUUUCCUCCGGUUUGCACAUUUUGAACAUCGCUUUCAGUUGGAAACUAAGUAUAGGGCGAGGCUGGAUUAUGCCAAAGAGAUCAUGGCAACGAGUUAGAAGAUGCUAUGUUGUACCAGAAGCUCUAAUGGGUGGUGACUCUUGGUACAUUGGAGUUUCCAUUAUUACAUCACACGGUGGUUCUUGCCAUCUAAAUAGUUAAUGCAUGGUUGAAAUAAUAGUUAGCGUAUACUAGAAGGGGAUUAGUAAGUCAAAUAUUUUCUCAGUUCUCAUUAGCAUCUUUUUUUUUUGUUCUCUUUAGCAUGGUUAUUUUAUUUACGUUGGACUUGAAUUGUAUGAAAAAUCAGGUAAUUAAACUUAAUUUCCAACUGUCCUUCUCAUGUUGAAGGGUGUUGAUACUA